Molecule: long non-coding RNA, 1500 nt
Organism: Anguilla anguilla (European eel)
Lineage: Eukaryota; Metazoa; Chordata; Actinopteri; Anguilliformes; Anguillidae
Exons: 5
Source: RefSeq, a predicted model, not a curated record
GACUUCCUGUUACCCAGAAGGCUGCAGACCGGGUACGGAGCUCGGCAGAUGGUUCCUGCUCAGACGACCCUGGAUUACGGCGCACGGUUCUUCCCCCCCCCUCAGACACCUCUCCCUCCCCGGCCCAGAGGGCAGGCCUGCAAGCUUGUUCCUGUGGCCCGGCUCCGUGGACAGACCCGCCGUACGCAUGCCUGCCCUGAGCUCGGCUCACAGCAAGAUGGAACCCCUCAAAUCCUGUAUGCAAAGCAGCAAUGGCUAUUUGAAGGGAACCCAGUGUUUCCACAGCGACGUCCAGCCCCGCGUCAGUCAAACAGACAGGGGAAUCUCGGGCUGCGAGGUUCUGAAGGCAAGCACGCGGCCGGAUAACCCUACCCUCGCCAGGUACCCUAAGCCUCAGAUGUAUUUCAAGAAAUCCCACUCCACCCUAGACCCGAGUUCCGUCUACAGCUGUUUCCAAGUGGUCAAGCCAUACAAGGCCGGAUAUUACAUCAUUCACCCCGAAUUUAUCUCAGAAAGCCUCAAAUGAACUCAUGCAUUAAUAUUCAAUACACUUGCCUUAAUAUUCAUCCUAUGACUACGCAGGCGAUUCAUUUUUGUCCUCUGGCGGGGUCCACGAGUCUCUGGUCUUAAUCUCAAGAACCACAUAGUCGACUGUGCUGAACCCGACACCGCAAGGGACAUUCAGUAAAAGCAAAAUAAAUAAUAUUUUUGAAAAUACUUUCUCAACGCAACAUGUUUUUUUUUCUCUCUUCCAAAACACUUGUAUUAUGUCAAUUAAAUUUAAAUACGGGUCUUAUGAGGAUAUUUGAAUGUCUUAAUUAGCCUACGGCUCCAGGAAGCAUUUUAGGUAUUUAUUUAUCUAUGCUAUUUGUCCAGAUUUAUAAGGUUUUUCUUUGCUUUGUGUCUUGCUAUAGAUUAAAACGACUUCAACUUUCUUCAGACGAUGUUUAAUGAUAUGAGCCGUUGGUCUUCGGACAGCGUGUUUGUUUUUGGUGUAUUACAGUGUGGAGCAUGACGUUUUAGGUAGCCUACGUUUAAAGUUGUAGUUGGAACAAAAAUUAAACUGAAAUUCAGGUCUUACAAGCAAGCACAACAAAGAAAGAUCAUUGUGGGGAAUUAAGGGAAAUGAUUUAACUUCUUGAGAAUUAAACAAACACGAUGAAGACUGUUGGCAAUAUGUUUUGUAUUUUGAAAUGAGAUUGUUUUUGUAUAUUGUGAAUAUAUUGUCUUUCUGAAAAAGAGAAUCCCUCCAUUGCUUAGUCGGGCAGUCUGUCUGACCUACCUCUAUGUAUUGAUUUUGAACAAUCUGAAUUCACUACUUGUGUAUUAGACAUUUUGAAUUUGCAAUGAAAAGAUAUUUGUUUUCUUCUUCGGUAAAUAGCGCAUGAAACCUGGCUAUGUCUUAAAGCGCCCAGAGUGAGUUUUAUGUUAACUAUUGGAAGAUGUAUUAAGUUAAACCCCGUUAAUAUGUAAGCAUCAUUUAAAUAAACUUGAAAACAA